Long non-coding RNA from Heterocephalus glaber (naked mole-rat), 1689 nucleotides. The record is from Ensembl. NCBI's taxonomy places the organism in Eukaryota, Metazoa, Chordata, Mammalia, Rodentia, Bathyergidae.
CAGGAUUCCAAAAGCAGUUGGCCGCAUUAAAUAAGAGUCAGGAAUGAAAACAAUAGCAAGGAACUGCUGGAGGAUGUAAAGCUGGAAUAAUGAAGAGGGAACAGCCAGAGAUGUCAAAUGAACUCUGAAAAUAGAUGUGGCUUAAUGAGCGUGGAGAGGUUGCCUUCAUCCAAACAGGCAGAUUCAACCAGGAAUUGAACCCAGUUGUGUGCCGAAGCCAGCUUAUACCAGCUCAUGAGAGCUGUGGGCAUCUCUUCCCAAGGUCAUAUUCAGGAAUAUCAUAUCAGUAGCUUGAAAUCAAUUCUGAUGGGAAUGUUUUUACCGUGGAAAUUAGCAAAUGUUACAAUGCAGGACUUUUGUGUUUUUACUGCAGAACCAGUUUACCCACAUACCAUUGACUGGACCUGUAUUAUCAGAGCCAGCCUAGCUGAGUUCUAAUCCACUAAAUUUGUUCUGAAUAUCUUGAGAUUCCCCAAAAUGUUUUGUUGUUGUUAUUGUUGAUGAUGAGAAAGGAUUUGCAGUGAGACCAGCACCAAUCAAUGGAAUCAUAAGUUGAGUUGCUGAGAACAAGAAGAGAGGAGGUACUUUGCAGGGUGGCUUAAAAAGGCUACAAGAGCACUGAAGCUGGGCAGGCUGCCUGAAGAUGGCUGAGCUUGAGGCAGCAGGCACUCAGCUGAUGCUCACAGUCAGGCUGAUCCUGCCAGUCUUUCCACUGCAGAAAAGGAGACAAAUGGAAAAGUGCUGUCGGUGUGGUGUUAUCCUUCCACAACAGCCACAUUAAGGAGUCUGCUGCUCAGAAAAUGUUGCCUUAUGGAUGAAAACAAACUUCUCCAUUUCUUUGUCUUUGGCCAGCACAGAACAACAUCGUUUUACAUUACAAUAGUUGAAGUUCCAAAUUCCUCUGUUUUUGAAGGAAUGGGAGCCCAGUUUAAAUGAUGGAGAGGGAGAUUGCAGUUCUUACAAAGAGAAUAUAUCAGAGUGAAGAAAAUCACUCUUUCUUUAGCAGGGACUUUGAUGAUCAAAAGGCAUACUUUGCAGGCACCACCAAAGACACAGUAUUUCAAUUUAGAAUGGAAAAAUAUUUUUUGCUAAAUUUUUUGUGUACUCCCCCACCCCCACCAAAAUAGAAGCUGUCCAGGAGUUUACCAAGAUCCUGCCUGUCCUGGCGUGGCAUCCACAGGAUCAUACUGCCUGCAUUCUUAUGCGCAUCUCAUGCUGAUGAGCUGGAAGCCCUGCAGAUGCACACAGGUUAUACAGCUAGAUUUGUAGACCUGGAGGUGGGUGAGCAGUAGACUGGAUCUUUGUGAUGUGUUCAUGAAUCUGGCAGAGAGUGACAUCACUAUUGCUCCAUUUGCAAAAGAGCCCCUGACAAUGGGCAGGCUGCACAAAGAAACUGGUCAGUUGAUUGUCCAGUCAGUGGAGACCCAGAGAAGUCGGACAGCCAGAUUGUACAGGAUGUUGCCCUAAAAACAAAGGAAAUCUUCACCAGCCUAGCAACCAAUUUUAGAAGUUGUGGACGAUGGAGGAAAGUGACUCCUCAAUUUCGAGGCAUUAAAGCAAAAAUGAUUUCCACCAGCAAUGGAAAACUUUCUUUACCAUCUAGCAGCAGCUGAACAAAUGCUGAAAAUAUGGCUGAGACAAAAUGUCCAGCUGAUGACUGUUACAAAGUUCUGCUUUCAUGCUGAUUCC